RNAcentral lists this ribosomal RNA (492 nucleotides) under uncultured bacterium. RNAcentral describes it as "partial 16S ribosomal RNA". It matches the Rfam family "Bacterial small subunit ribosomal RNA", at positions 30 to 507 of the family's 1533-position model. The record is from RNAcentral.
AGUGAACGCUGGCGGUAGGCCUAACACAUGCAAGUCGAACGGCAGCACAGUAAGAGCUUGCUCUUAUUGGUGGCGAGUGGCGGACGGGUGAGGUAUACAUCGGUAUCUACUUUUUCGUGGGGGAUAACGUAGGGCAACUUACGCUAAUACCUCAUACGUCCUACGGGUGAAAGCAGGGGAUCUUCGGACCUUGCGCGUUUUAAUGAGCCGAGGUCGGAUUAGCUAGUUGGCGGGGUAAAGGCCCACCAAGGCGACGAUCCGUAGCGGGUCUGACAGGAUGAACAGCGACAGUGGAACUGAGAGACGGUACAGAGACCGACGGGAGGCAGAAGUGGGGAAGAGAGGACAAUGGGGGGAAGACUGAUCCAGGGAUACCGGGUGGAUGAAGAAGGGCUGCGGGUUGUAAAGCCGUUUUGUUGGGAAAGAAAAGUAGCAGGUUAAGAGACGGCUGUUCUGACGGUACCCAAAGAAUAAGCACCGGCUAACUACGUG